AACAGUAUCAGAAAUCGUAGAGCGUACGCGCCAACGUGAAACAUAUCGAAAAUCCGAUUAGAUCAAAAAUGUUAUAGCGAAUCAGUUUAAUCGAAAUCCAUUAAAUCGAACCCGUGAUUUCGAGUACUCCGAUAUCGGAGUAAUAUUACUCCUGGACUCGUUUAACGGACGGAUACUCUGGUACAGAGAAUACCUGCUCUACGCUAACAUUUCACAGAUUUAUGUACGAGAUGGUGCAUCGAAGUGACAAGUGACAUGCGAUGAACACGAACAUACAUCGCCAGGAACAUCGUUUACACUGUUCACAAGUGACGAGCAUCACUUCGACAGCACAACUUAUGAGACUUAUGAGAAAUUUAUCUUCCCUUAUCAUAUAUUAAACAUGACGAUCAUAAAAAUGGAUUAAUAUAUCAUUAUAAUAUACAAAAAGUUGUAUCUAUAUGGGAAACUUUUCAAAUUCACGUACAUGAUGGCGCAUAAAAUAGACGAUCGGGUCACUAGGGAACGGAAUCGAUUUGUCUUUUCUCGUGAAUUCACAUCGAAAGGUCAAACUGCCAGGAACUAUUUAUCAAGAAACCGGAAUACCAGAAGGAACACUAAAAAAAAAAGAAAGGAAGUCGCAAGAAAGAAUAAUGAACCUGCUUGAAAAAUCGAGGCACCUCACCAAAUUAUUGUUACUUUCUUCGUUGUGUUUUAUUCGCAGCGUUUCUAUACAAUAUUGCCGUUUAUCUACCUUCGUAAAAUAAUAACU
Molecule: long non-coding RNA, 751 nt
Organism: Trachymyrmex cornetzi
Lineage: Eukaryota; Metazoa; Arthropoda; Insecta; Hymenoptera; Formicidae
Exons: 3
Source: RefSeq, a predicted model, not a curated record